CCUACGGGAGGCAGCAGUGGGGAAUAUUGGACAAUGGGGGAAACCCUGAUCCAGCGACGCCGCGUGAGUGAAGAAGUAUUUCGGUACGUAAAGCUCUAUCAGCAGGAAAGAAAAUGACGGUACCUGACUAAGAAGCCCCGGCUAACUACGUGCCAGCAGCCGCGGUAAUACGUAGGGGGCAAGCGUUAUCCGGAUUUACUGGGUGGAAAGGGAGCGUAGACGGCAGCGCAAGUCUGGAGUGAAAUGCCGGGGCCCAACCCCGGAACUGCUCUGGAAACUGUGAAGCUGGAGUGCAGGAGAGGUAAGCGGAAUUCCUGGUGUAGCGGUGAAAUGCGUAGAUAUCAGGAGGAACACCGGCGGCGAAGGCGGCUUACUGGACUGUAACUGACGUUGAGGCUCGAAGGCGUGGGGAGCAAACAGGAUUAGAUACCCGGGUAGUC
RNAcentral lists this ribosomal RNA (440 nucleotides) under uncultured bacterium. Its description in RNAcentral is "partial 16S ribosomal RNA". It matches the Rfam family "Bacterial small subunit ribosomal RNA", at positions 338 to 795 of the family's 1533-position model. The record is from RNAcentral.